Molecule: ribosomal RNA, 253 nt
Filed under: uncultured bacterium
Lineage: Bacteria
Description: partial 16S ribosomal RNA
Rfam family: Bacterial small subunit ribosomal RNA
Source: RNAcentral
UACGAAGGGGGCUAGCGUUGUUCGGAUUUACUGGGCGUAAAGCGCACGUAGGCGGAUUGCUAAGUCAGGGGUGAAAUCCUGGAGCUCAACUCCAGAACUGCCUUUGAUACUGGCGACCUUGAGUCCGGGAGAGGUGAGUGGAACUGCGAGUGUAGAGGUGAAAUUCGUAGAUAUUCGCAAGAACACCAGUGGCGAAGGCGGCUCACUGGCCCGGUACUGACGCUGAGGUGCGAAAGCGUGGGGAGCAAACAGG